This 497-nucleotide ribosomal RNA is filed under the name uncultured bacterium. Its description in RNAcentral is "partial 16S ribosomal RNA". It matches the Rfam family "Bacterial small subunit ribosomal RNA", at positions 28 to 507 of the family's 1533-position model. The record is from RNAcentral.
GAUGAACGCUGGCGGCGUGCCUAAUACAUGCAAGUCGAGCGAACAGACGAGGAGCUUGCUCCUCUGACGUUAGCGGCGGACGGGUGAGUAACACGUGGAUAACCUACCUAUAAGACUGGGAUAACUUCGGGAAACCGGAGCUAAUACCGGAUAAUAUAUUGAACCGCAUGGUUCAAUAGUGAAAGACGGUUUUGCUGUCACUUAUAGAUGGAUCCGCGCCGCAUUAGCUAGUUGGUAAGGUAACGGCUUACCAAGGCGACGAUGCGUAGCCGACCUGAGAGGGUGAUCGGCCACACUCGAACUGAGACACGGUCCAGACUCCUACGGGAGGCAGCAGUAGGGAAUCUUCCGCAAUGGGCGAAAGCCUGACGGAGCAACGCCGCGUGAGUGAUGAAGGUCUUCGGAUCGUAAAACUCUGUUAUUAGGGAAGAACAAAUGUGUAAGUAACUAUGCACGUCUUGACGGUACCUAAUCAGAAAGCCACGGCUAACUACGUG